AUUGAACGCUGGCGGCAGGCCUAACACCUGCAAGUCGAACGAGUGGCGGACGGGUGAGUAAUGUCUGGGCAACUGCCUGAUGGAGGGGGAUAACUACUGGAAACGGUAGCUAAUACCGCAUACCAUCAGAUGUGCCCAGAUGGGAUUAGCUAGUUGGUGGGGUAACGGCUCCCCAAGGCGACGACCCCUAGCUGGGCUGAAAGGAUGACCAGCCACACUGGAGCUGAGACACGGUCCAUGCGCCUACGGGAGGCAGCAGGGGGGAAUAUGGCACAAUGGGCGCAAGCCUGAUGCAGCCAUUCCGCGUGUAUGAAGAAGGCCGUCGGGUUGUAAAGUACUUUCAGCUGGGAGGCGUUACCCGCAGAAGAAGCACCGGCUAACGCCGUGCCAGCAGCCGCGGUAAUAC
RNAcentral lists this ribosomal RNA (406 nucleotides) under uncultured bacterium. Its description in RNAcentral is "partial 16S ribosomal RNA". It matches the Rfam family "Bacterial small subunit ribosomal RNA", at positions 29 to 526 of the family's 1533-position model. The record is from RNAcentral.